Molecule: ribosomal RNA, 468 nt
Filed under: uncultured bacterium
Lineage: Bacteria
Description: partial 16S ribosomal RNA
Rfam family: Bacterial small subunit ribosomal RNA
Source: RNAcentral
GACGAACGCUGGCGGCGUGCUUAACACAUGCAAGUCGAACGGAAAGGCCCUGCUUUUGUGGGGUGCUCGAGUGGCGAACGGGUGAGUAACACGUGAGUAACCUGCCCUUGACUUUGGGAUAACUUCAGGAAACUGGGGCUAAUACCGGAUAGGAGCUCCUGCUGCAUGGUGGGGGUUGGAAAGUUUCGGCGGUUGGGGAUGGACUCGCGGCUUAUCAGCUUGUUGGUGGGGUAGUGGCUUACCAAGGCUUUGACGGGUAGCCGGCCUGAGAGGGUGACCGGCCACAUUGGGACUGAGAUACGGACCAGACUCCUACGGGAGGCAGCAGUGGGGAAUAUUGCACAAUGGGCGGAAGCCUGAUGCAGCAACGCCGCGUGCGGGAUGACGGCCUUCGGGUUGUAAACCGCUGUCGCCUGUGACGAAGCGUGAGUGACGGUAAUGGGUAAAGAAGCACCGGCUAACUACGUG